ACCCGCAGAAAACUAGCAUAUCAAUAAGCGGAGGAAAAGAAACCAACAGGGAUUGCCCUAGUAACGGCGAGUGAAGCGGCAUCAGCUCAAAUUUGAAAUCUGGCUCUUUUAGAGUCCGAGUUGUAAUUUGCAGAGGGCGCUUUGGCGUUGGCAGCGGUCCAAGUUCCUUGGAACAGGACGUCACAGAGGGUGAGAAUCCCGUACGUGGUCGCUAACCUUCGCCGUGUAAAGCCCCUUCGACGAGUCGAGUUGUUUGGGAAUGCAGCUCUAAAUGGGAGGUAAAUUUCUUCUAAAGCUAAAUACUGGCCAGAGACCGAUAGCGCACAAGUAGAGUGAUCGAAAGAUGAAAAGCACUUUGGAAAGAGAGUCAAAUAGCACGUGAAAUUGUUGAAAGGGAAGCGCUUGCAGCCAGACUUGCCUGUAGUUGCUCAUCCGGGCUUUUGCCCGGUGCACUCUUCUGCGGGCAGGCCAGCAUCAGUCUGGGCGGUUGGAUAAAGGCCUCUGUCAUGUACCUCCUUUCGGGGAGGCCUUAUAGGGGAGGCGUCAUGCAACCAGCCUGGACUGAGGUCCGCGCAUCUGCUAGGAUGCUGGCGUAAUGGCUGUAAGCGGCCCGUCUUGAAACACGGACCAAGGAGUCUAACAUCUAUGCGAGUGUUUGGGUGUCAAGCCCGAGCGCGUAAUGAAAGUGAACGGAGGUGGGAUCCCUUUAGGGUGCACCAUCGACCGAUCCUGAUGUCUUCGGAUGGAUUUGAGUAAGAGCAUGGCUGUUGGGACCCGAAAGAUGGUGAACUAUGCUUGAAUAGGGUGAAGCCAGAGGAAACUCUGGUGGAGGCUCGCAGCGGUUCUGACGUGCAAAUCGAUCGUCAAAUUUGGGCAUAGGGGCGAAAGACUAAUCGAACUAUCUAGUAGCUGGUUCCUGCCGAAGUCCCCCCCAGGA
RNAcentral lists this ribosomal RNA (937 nucleotides) under Cucurbitaria sp. 178155. Its description in RNAcentral is "eukaryotic LSU rRNA". It matches the Rfam family "Eukaryotic large subunit ribosomal RNA", at positions 23 to 978 of the family's 3401-position model. The record is from RNAcentral. Lineage: Eukaryota; Fungi; Ascomycota; Dothideomycetes; Pleosporales; Cucurbitariaceae.